Molecule: ribosomal RNA, 546 nt
Filed under: uncultured bacterium
Lineage: Bacteria
Description: bacterial SSU rRNA
Rfam family: Bacterial small subunit ribosomal RNA
Source: RNAcentral
AAUAGAUACCCCGGUAGUCCAUGCCGUAAACGUUGGGCACUAGGUGUGGGGGACAUUCCACGUUUUCCGCGCCGUAGCUAACGCAUUAAGUGCCCCGCCUGGGGAGUACGGCCGCAAGGCUAAAACUCAAAGGAAUUGACGGGGGCCCGCACAAGCGGCGGAGCAUGCGGAUUAAUUCGAUGCAACGCGAAGAACCUUACCAAGGCUUGACAUGAACCGGAAAGAUCUGGAAACAGGUCCCCCACUUGUGGUCGGUUUACAGGUGGUGCAUGGUUGUCGUCAGCUCGUGUCGUGAGAUGUUGGGUUAAGUCCCGCAACGAGCGCAACCCUCGUUCUAUGUUGCCAGCACGUGAUGGUGGGGACUCAUAGGAGACUGCCGGGGUCAACUCGGAGGAAGGUGGGGACGACGUCAAAUCAUCAUGCCCCUUAUGUCUUGGGCUUCACGCAUGCUACAAUGGCCGGUACAAAGGGUUGCGAUACUGUGAGGUGGAGCUAAAUCCCAAAAAGCCGGUCUCAGUUCGGAUUGGGGUCUGCAACUCGACCCCA